GGAGCUGAAAUCAGUCGAAGAUACCAGCUGGCUGCAACUGUUUAUUAAAAACACAGCACUGUGCAAACACGAAAGUGGACGUAUACGGUGUGACGCCUGCCCGGUGCCGGAAGGUUAAUUGAUGGGGUUAUCCUCGCGGAGAAGCUCUUGAUCGAAGCCCCGGUAAACGGCGGCCGUAACUAUAACGGUCCUAAGGUAGCGAAAUUCCUUGUCGGGUAAGUUCCGACCUGCACGAAUGGCGUAAUGAUGGCCAGGCUGUCUCCACCCGAGACUCAGUGAAAUUGAACUCGCUGUGAAGAUGCAGUGUACCCGCGGCAAGACGGAAAGACCCCGUGAACCUUUACUAUAGCUUGACACUGAACACUGGUCCUUGAUGUGUAGGAUAGGUGGGAGGCUUUGAAGUGUGGACGCCAGUCUGCAUGGAGCCGUCCUUGAAAUACCACCCUUUAAUGGCUGGUGUUCUAACGUGGGCCCCUAAUCGGGGUUGCGGACAGUGUCUGGUGGGUAGUUUGACUGGGGCGGUCUCCUCCUAAAGAGUAACGGAGGAGCACGAAGGUCAGCUAAUCCUGGUCGGACAUCAGGAGGUUAGUGCAAUGGCAUAAGCUGGCUUGACUGCGAGCGUGACGGCGCGAGCAGGUGCGAAAGCAGGUCAUAGUGAUCCGGUGGUUCUGAAUGGAAGGGCCAUCGCUCAACGGAUAAAAGGUACUCCGGGGAUAACAGGCUGAUACCGCCCAAGAGUUCAUAUCGACGGCGGUGUUUGGCACCUCGAUGUCGGCUCAUCACAUCCUGGGGCUGAAGUAGGUCCCAAGGGUAUGGCUGUUCGCCAUUUAAAGUGGUACGCGAGCUGGGUUUAGAACGUCGUGAGACAGUUCGGUCCCUAUCUGCCGUGGGCGCUGGAGAAUUGAGGGGGGCUGCUCCUAGUACGAGAGGACCGGAGUGGACGCAUCACUGGUGUUCGGGUUGUCAUGCCAAUGGCAUUGCCCGGUAGCUAAAUGCGGAAGAGAUAAGUGCUGAAAGCAUCUAAGCACGAAACUUGCCCCGAGAUGAGUUCUCCCUGACUCCUUGAGAGUCCUGAAGGAACGUUGAAGACGACGACGUUGAUAGGCCGGGUGUGUAAGCGCAGCGAUGCGUUGAGCUAACCGGUACUAAUGAACCGUGAGGCUUAACCUUACAACGCCGAAG
This 1182-nucleotide ribosomal RNA is filed under the name Klebsiella oxytoca. RNAcentral describes it as "partial 23S ribosomal RNA". It matches the Rfam family "Bacterial large subunit ribosomal RNA", at positions 1747 to 2925 of the family's 2925-position model. Lineage: Bacteria; Pseudomonadati; Pseudomonadota; Gammaproteobacteria; Enterobacterales; Enterobacteriaceae. The record is from RNAcentral.